This 73-nucleotide transfer RNA is filed under the name Cricetulus griseus (Chinese hamster). It matches the Rfam family "tRNA". From Rfam's summary of the family: Transfer RNA (tRNA) molecules are approximately 80 nucleotides in length. Their secondary structure includes four short double-helical elements and three loops (D, anti-codon, and T loops). Lineage: Eukaryota; Metazoa; Chordata; Mammalia; Rodentia; Cricetidae. The record is from Rfam by way of RNAcentral.
GCCCCAGUGGCCUAAUAGUUAAAGCACUAGCUUCCUAAGCCAGGGAUUGUGGGUUUAAGUUUCACCGAGGGUA